This 476-nucleotide long non-coding RNA is filed under the name Dromaius novaehollandiae (emu). RNAcentral describes it as "lncRNA (ENSDNVG00000011782.1)". Lineage: Eukaryota; Metazoa; Chordata; Aves; Casuariiformes; Dromaiidae. The record is from RNAcentral.
AUGGCUCCUUGCAAGUCAAGAGGUUCUGAAAGGCAUUCUCUUGGAAAAGUCUGUGAAGACGCAAAGGAUUUUCCUGGAAAAAAAAUGUGGUCAUGUGUAAAGACACAGCAUCUUGGCUGUCUGCUAAAAAAAUGUACACUCACUUGGUGGAGAUUGAACCGCGGACUGCAAAAUAUCCCAUGGCAGAUUAUCAUCAUUUAAGGUAAUUUUUCCUUUAUACCCCCUUCCCCCUCUCCCUUUUUAAGAGCGGCACCGCGUCCUCGGGACGGGAGCCCUCCUGCUCCCGGGUCCUUACCGCCCGUCUUACAAUAACUUCGAAAAUUACAUCGUCCAGCUUAAAUUCUCGCAUUGUGUUCCCUUUGCUAAGGCAACCAGGGGUUCACCGAGAGGACAAAUUUUCUAUCCCAUUAAUUGUUUUUUUUAGAGAAGCAGUCUGACCCUUCAAACCCUUGACCUUUAAAGACAGUAUUCUUUUU